ACUGAAGUUGGUGUCUGCGCACUUGGAGACCUGGUUUUGCGCGGAAGCACAAAGACUUACACCUUUGCUUCAGGCUGAUAACGCAGCACACAGAAGCGAGGG
This 102-nucleotide small nuclear RNA is filed under the name uncultured Symbiodinium. RNAcentral's name for it is "partial Dictyostelium signal recognition particle". Lineage: Eukaryota; Dinophyceae; Suessiales; Symbiodiniaceae. The record is from RNAcentral.